CUACCGGGGGGCUCCAGUGAGGAAUAUUGCACAAUGGGGGGAACCCUGAUGCAGCAACGCCGCGUGAAGGAUGACGCAUUUCGGUGUGUAAACUCCUUUUAUAUGUCAAGAAAAUGACGGUAGCAUAUGAAUAAGCACCGGCUAACUCCGUGCCAGCAGCCGCGGUAAUACGGAGGGUGCAAGCGUUACUCGGAAUCACUGGGCGUAAAGGACGCGUAGGCGGGUUGGAAAGUCAGGUGUGAAAUCCUACAGCUUAACUGUAGAACUGCACUUGAAACUUCUAAUCUAGAGUAUGGGAGGGGGAGAUGGAAUUAGUGGUGUAGGGGUAAAAUCCGUAGAUAUCACUAGGAAUACCUAAAGCGAAGGCGAUCUCCUGGAACAUUACUGACGCUAAGGCGUGAAAGCGUGGGGAGCAAACAGGAUUAGAUACCCUCGUAGUC
RNAcentral lists this ribosomal RNA (440 nucleotides) under uncultured bacterium. RNAcentral describes it as "partial 16S ribosomal RNA". It matches the Rfam family "Bacterial small subunit ribosomal RNA", at positions 338 to 795 of the family's 1533-position model. The record is from RNAcentral.